CAGUCUCUCGGGCAACCGGGAGAGCUUGUAAACCCCACCUGGUGCAAGAUCGAAUAAGCUUCCAGAUGUUGUUCGCAUCAUUAUGAGAAGCGGGUAGUUCGCUUGAGGCGAUUGGUGACGAUUGUCCCAGAUGAAUGACCACUGACCCCUGAAUUAUCAGUGGGAGACAGGACUCGGCUUAUAGAUCUUCUCAGACU
RNAcentral lists this RNase P RNA (197 nucleotides) under Fidelibacterota bacterium. RNAcentral's name for it is "Candidatus Marinimicrobia bacterium partial RNase P RNA component class A". It matches the Rfam family "Bacterial RNase P class A", at positions 178 to 367 of the family's 367-position model. Rfam says of the family: Ribonuclease P (RNase P) is a ubiquitous endoribonuclease, found in archaea, bacteria and eukarya as well as chloroplasts and mitochondria. Its best characterised activity is the generation of mature 5'-ends of tRNAs by cleaving the 5'-leader elements of precursor-tRNAs. Cellular RNase Ps are ribonucleoproteins. Lineage: Bacteria; Pseudomonadati; Fidelibacterota. The record is from RNAcentral.